UCGGACCCCGGGCACAGUCUCUGGGUGUGGGGAGCAGGCAUCAGUAUAUUUUGAAGCUCCUCAGGUGAUUCCAAUGUGCAGAUGAG
This is a non-coding RNA of Ceratotherium simum simum (southern white rhinoceros), 86 nucleotides long. The record is from RefSeq and is a predicted model, not a curated record. NCBI's taxonomy places the organism in Eukaryota, Metazoa, Chordata, Mammalia, Perissodactyla, Rhinocerotidae.